This is a long non-coding RNA of Sebastes umbrosus (honeycomb rockfish), 175 nucleotides long. RefSeq lists it as uncharacterized. The record is from RefSeq and is a predicted model, not a curated record. The transcript is spliced from 3 exons. Lineage: Eukaryota; Metazoa; Chordata; Actinopteri; Perciformes; Sebastidae.
CUAAAGUCAGCUCUUUAAUUCACACUUCAUAAAUCAUAAAGUGAUGUUUAUUAGUGGAGAUUAUUUUACUGAACAAAACAUGUCAGUGUCAUAAACGUGUGUUUGCCACAGAGAUUAUUUUCUGUAAUAAUCUAAAACCAAAUGGAACAAUCCCAUUGGGUGUUAGUGGAGGGAA